Molecule: ribosomal RNA, 427 nt
Filed under: uncultured bacterium
Lineage: Bacteria
Description: bacterial SSU rRNA
Rfam family: Bacterial small subunit ribosomal RNA
Source: RNAcentral
UGGGGAAUUUUGGACAAUGGGCGCAAGCCUGAUCCAGCCAUGCCGCGUGAGUGAAGAAGGCCUUCGGGUUGUAAAGCUCUUUCGGACGGGAAGAAAUGGCGGGCUCUAACAUAGCCUGUCGAUGACGGUACCGUAAGAAGAAGCACCGGCUAACUACGUGCCAGCAGCCGCGGUAAUACGUAGGGUGCGAGCGUUAAUCGGAUUUACUGGGCGUAAAGGGCGCGUAGGCGGCGCGGUAAGUCACUGGUGAAAUCUCUGAGCUUAACUCAGAACGGCCAAGUGAUACUGCUGUGCUAGAGUGCGGAAGAGGCGACCGGAAUUCUUGGUGUAGCGGUGAAAUGCGUAGAUAUCAAGAGGAACACCUGAGGCGAAGGCGGGUUGCUGGGCCGACACUGACGCUGAUGCGCGAAAGCCAGGGGAGCAAACG